UUUCUCGAACUCUUCUCGUAGACUGCGUGACAGUCAAUUGGCACAUAUGUCAUGAAAUAUAGUGAUUUUUGACGACGAGAGGAGGGUGGCCACGGGAGGAUGCAGGAUUAGAUGGCUCAGUGUCAAAUUACUACAUUCAAACCGA
Caenorhabditis elegans is the source of this 145-nucleotide non-coding RNA. Lineage: Eukaryota; Metazoa; Nematoda; Chromadorea; Rhabditida; Rhabditidae. The record is from Ensembl.